Molecule: ribosomal RNA, 254 nt
Filed under: uncultured bacterium
Lineage: Bacteria
Description: partial 16S ribosomal RNA
Rfam family: Bacterial small subunit ribosomal RNA
Source: RNAcentral
UACGGGGGGGGGUAAGCGUUGUUCGGAAUUACUGGGCGUAAAGGGCUCGUAGGCGGCCAACUAAGUCAGACGUGAAAUCCCUCAGCUUAACUGGGGAACUGCGUCUGAUACUGGAUGGCUUGGAUUCGGGAGAGGAAUGCGGAAUUCCAGGUGUAGCGGUGAAAUGCGUAGAUAUCGAGAGGAACACCUGCGGCGAAGGCGGCAUCCUGGACCGACACUGACACUGAGGAGCGAAAGCCAGGGGAGCAAACGGG